GCUUGUGGCUUAGUGAUAGAGUGCUUGCCUAGCAUGUGUGAGGCACUGGGUUCGAUCCUCAGCACGGCA
RNAcentral lists this transfer RNA (69 nucleotides) under Marmota monax (woodchuck). Its description in RNAcentral is "tRNA.Ala". Lineage: Eukaryota; Metazoa; Chordata; Mammalia; Rodentia; Sciuridae. The record is from RNAcentral.